This 283-nucleotide ribosomal RNA is filed under the name uncultured methanogenic archaeon. RNAcentral's name for it is "partial 16S ribosomal RNA". It matches the Rfam family "Archaeal small subunit ribosomal RNA", at positions 319 to 603 of the family's 1478-position model. Lineage: Archaea; Methanobacteriati; Methanobacteriota. The record is from RNAcentral.
UCCCUACGGGGCGCAGCAGGCGCGAAAACUUUACAAUGCGGGAAACCGUGAUAAGGGGACACCGAGUGCUAGCAUCAUAUGCUAGCUGUCCAGGCGUGUAAACUACGCCUGUUAGCAAGGGCCGGGCAAGACCGGUGCCAGCCGCCGCGGUAACACCGGCGGCCCGAGUGGUAAUCGUGAUUAUUGGGUCUAAAGGGUCCGUAGCCGGUUUGGUCAGUCCUCCGGGAAAUCUGAUAGCUCAACUAUUAGGCUUUCGGGGGAUACUGCCAGAUCUGAACAGAGA